UUUCUCUAUCAAUCAUCUGCACUCUCCUCCUUCUCUCUACUCUCUUCUUUCUCUCUCUAGAUAACUCCAUCGUCCCACCGUGUUAAUGUUAAGACCGUAUGUUGCCGCCGGCGUUCGUGGCCGCGUCGUCGUGCGUACAUAAUUUUGCUUCAAAAGUCGUUCACACCGUGGCAACAUGUUUUGACUGUUAAUCUACCGCUGGUAUCUUUGUCGGUGUGUUUGCCGGUGACUUUGUCGGUAAGACAGUCGGUGUUAUUGUAGGCGGUUUUGUGCAUAUGAGGGUUGUACCCAUAUUUUUAUGGAUUGUACCAACCUUUGGGUUUAAAACCCCAUUUCUUUAUCCGUCGAUAUGCGGGUGACUUUGUGGGCGACUUUGUUGUCACCACCACUGGUGUUGUUGUGGAUGGCUUCUCCAUUGGCUUUGAUGUGGCUAAAUCAUUUUGGGUUUAAAAUUCGAGGUCGGUGAAGCACCGCCAUGGUGACACCGUCCGAUGCCGGUACUGGUGAAGUUUUCGCGUCGGUUCCGAUGAAUUUGGCAGUCAUACAUUGAAAAUUUUUAGUUGAAUUCCAACAAAUUGAAAAUUUUUAAGCUGAAUUCCAACAAGCCUAACUUUUCGGAUUUGAUUUUGAUCUUGGUUUGCCUUUUUAUUUUUCACUUUUUGUUUGGCGAUUAAGCAGAUGGUGAGGAGGGUUGUGGUGGACUGGUGGUAGCGGUAGCUGUUGUCGUGUGGUAGUCUUCAAACCUUACAAACGGUUAAAACAUUUCCUUUUUUUACAAGUAGAGUCCCACAUGGAGACGUCUGAAAAUGAGAUAAACCAUAGAUAAUUGAGUUGAUGGCAGUCAUGGACUUAAAAAAACUUCUAAAAAAUUGCUUAGUAGAUACAUUAAAAAGCGUGUUAAAUGUCCAGAAAAUUGAUGCAUUGAUGGACAAAAAUAAAGAACUUUUUAGAAAGAGUAAGGAGAAAGUGGUAUGUUUGUAACAGUGAAAUAUGGAUGGCACAUGGUUUUUGUUACUUUACCAUUUAGUCUGACCACAUUAAAUUAAUUUGACAUAUUGGCGUUUGUUUUCAUGAAUUACAAUUUUACGAUGAUGACAUUUAAAUUAAAAUUAAACUGUAUCAGAAAUUAUAAUUUCACAUAUGUUUGCUUUGUGACUUUAGACAAAACCACAUUAACUUAUUCUCUUUCUAUGAUCUAUUGAAAAAGAUAAUACUUUUCUCAAAAGUAGUAACAUUAUUAUUACUAUUAUAAAAUUCAAAGACACGACGCACAACAACGAAGUAGUGAUGAGGAAGAUGAUCUGACUGCGACAUAGGCUUUGCUGCAAAAAGUAAGAUUAAUUUAUUUAUUUUAGUUAUAUGUUUUUUAAUAUACAUAAGCGCGGGCUCAUCGCAAUCCUAAUUAAUUAAAUCCAUCAAUUAUCAUUGUCGUCAUGUGUCUUGCAUAUGUGGAUCCAUGCCGCAACGCGCGGGUGGUAAAUUAACUAUUAGUUUUGUUUCCAGUCAGUUGGAAGCGAGAUCUUUUUAGUGAGUUGUUUCAUGUUUGAGUUGUUGGUUAUUAGUUUUAUUUUAAGGCCUUGAAAGGGUAUUUUUGUGAUUUCAUUAAAAUGUUUAUUUUUGUUGAUUCUCCUUCAGGCUCUGCAUAGGAGCCUAAUGUACUGAUGUGUAGAUUUCAUGGUGUGUAUAAAAAGUUGAGUGAGGUUUUGGAUCGAUUAGUGUAUAAAAAACUUAGAAUCACAAAAGAAGUUCAAGAGUAAGUAAAUACUUGAUGUAGUAGCGGAGAUUAAAUGCUCAUAUGUCAAAUUUAGGGGCACCAUUUUUGUAUAUGUGAUUUGCAGAUGCGACUGUAGAAAAAAAAAGAACUUAUGUAAAAAUACUGUGUACCCGGCCGCAACGCGACGGGUACUUUUCUAGUUAUUUAUAAAGGUCACUCAUCUGUCUAUCACACAAAAUAUUUAUAAAGGUUAUCAUCUAGAAAUCUGAGUUGUCAGUCGACU
This 1997-nucleotide long non-coding RNA is filed under the name Helianthus annuus (common sunflower). RNAcentral describes it as "hypothetical non coding rna". Lineage: Eukaryota; Viridiplantae; Streptophyta; Magnoliopsida; Asterales; Asteraceae. The record is from RNAcentral.